UACGGAGGGUGCAAGCGUUAUCCGGAUUUACUGGGUUUAAAGGGUGCGUAGGUGGGUUUGUAAGUCAGUGGUGAAAUCUCCGAGCUUAACUCGGAAACUGCCAUUGAUACUAUAAGUCUUGAAUGUUCUGGAGGUGAGCGGAAUAUGUCAUGUAGCGGUGAAAUGCUUAGAUAUGACAUAGAACACCAGUGGCGAAGGCGGCUCACUGGACAAGUAUUGACGCUGAGGUGCGAAAGCGUGGGGAGCAAACAGG
RNAcentral lists this ribosomal RNA (253 nucleotides) under uncultured bacterium. RNAcentral describes it as "partial 16S ribosomal RNA". It matches the Rfam family "Bacterial small subunit ribosomal RNA", at positions 524 to 776 of the family's 1533-position model. The record is from RNAcentral.